AUACGAAGGGGGCUAGCGUUGUCCGGAAUUACUGGGCGUAAAGCGCAUGUAGGCGGACAUUUAAGUCGGGGGUGAAAUCCCGGGGCGUCAACCUCGGAACUGCCUUUGAUACUGGGUGUCUAGAGUGUGGAAGAGGUAAGUGGAAUUCCGAGUGUAGAGGUGAAAUUCGUAGAUAUUCGGAGGAACACCAGUGGCGAAGGCGGCUUACUGGUCCAUUACUGACGCUGAGGUGCGAAAGCGUGGGGAGC
RNAcentral lists this ribosomal RNA (248 nucleotides) under uncultured bacterium. Its description in RNAcentral is "partial 16S ribosomal RNA". It matches the Rfam family "Bacterial small subunit ribosomal RNA", at positions 523 to 769 of the family's 1533-position model. The record is from RNAcentral.